This 501-nucleotide ribosomal RNA is filed under the name uncultured crenarchaeote. Its description in RNAcentral is "bacterial SSU rRNA". It matches the Rfam family "Archaeal small subunit ribosomal RNA", at positions 858 to 1338 of the family's 1478-position model. Lineage: Archaea; Thermoproteati; Thermoproteota. The record is from RNAcentral.
GCCAGCCCGCUCCAGAAACUACAAAGGAAUUGACGGGGGAGCACCACCAGGGGUGAAGCUUGCGGUUUAAUUGGAGUCAACACCGGAAACCUUACCGGGAGCGACAGCAGAGUGAAGGCCAGAUUGAGGGUCUUGCCAGACAAGCUGAGAGGAGGUGCAUGGCCGUCGCCAGUUCGUGCCGUGAGGUGUCCUGUUAAGUCAGGCAACGAUCGAGACCCACGUCCCCUGUUGCCACUGAGGAAAACUUCCAAUGGGCACUCUGGGGGGACUGCCGCUGAUAAAGCGGAGGAAGGAGUGGGCCACGGCAGGUCAGUAUGCCCCGAAUCUCCCGGGCCACACGCGAGCUGCAAUGGUAGGGACAAUGGGUUCCGACCCCGAAAGGGGAAGGUAAUCCUCAAACCCUGCCUCAGUUGGGAUCGAGGGCUGUAACCCGCCCUCGUGAACAUGGAAUCCCUAGUAAUCGCGCGUCAUCAGCGCGCGGUGAAUACGUCCCUGCUCCUU